This 453-nucleotide ribosomal RNA is filed under the name uncultured bacterium. RNAcentral describes it as "bacterial SSU rRNA". It matches the Rfam family "Bacterial small subunit ribosomal RNA", at positions 8 to 507 of the family's 1533-position model. The record is from RNAcentral.
AGAGUUUGAUCCUGGCUCAGAACGAACGCUGGCGGCAUGCCUAACACAUGCAAGUCGAACGAAGCCUUCGGGCUUAGUGGCGCACGGGUGCGUAACACGUGGGAAUCUGCCCUUCGGUUCGGAAUAACAGUUAGAAAUGACUGCUAAUACCGGAUGAUGACGUAAGUCCAAAGAUUUAUCGCCGAAGGAUGAGCCCGCGUAGGAUUAGGUAGUUGGUGGGGUAAUGGCCCACCAAGCCGACGAUCCUUAGCUGGUCUGAGAGGAUGAUCAGCCACACUGGGACUGAGACACGGCCCAGACUCCUACGGGAGGCAGCAGUGGGGAAUAUUGGACAAUGGGCGAAAGCCUGAUCCAGCAAUGCCGCGUGAGUGAUGAAGGCCUUAGGGUUGUAAAGCUCUUUUACCAGGGAUGAUAAUGACAGUACCUGGAGAAUAAGCUCCGGCUAACUCCGUG